Molecule: ribosomal RNA, 507 nt
Filed under: Protohermes immaculatus
Lineage: Eukaryota; Metazoa; Arthropoda; Insecta; Megaloptera; Corydalidae
Description: partial 16S ribosomal RNA
Rfam family: Bacterial large subunit ribosomal RNA
Source: RNAcentral
GUCUUUUAGAAUAUAAUUUAAAGUCUAACCUGCCCACUGAAUUUUUUGAAGGGCCGCGGUAUUUUGACUGUGCAAAGGUAGCAUAAUCAUUAGUCUUUUAAUUGGAGGCUUGUAUGAAUGGUUGGAUGAAACAUUAACUGUCUCAAUUUAAUAAAAGUAGAAUUUAAUUUUUAAGUUAAAAAGCUUAAAUUUAAUUAGAGGACGAGAAGACCCUAUAGAUCUUUAUAAUUAAUUAGUUAUUAUUUAUAUAGUAAAUUUAUUAAUAUUAAUUAAUUAAUUAUUUUAUUGGGGUGAUAAAUAAAUUUAGUAAACUUUAUUUAAUAUAAACAUUAAUUUAUGAAUAUUUGAUCCAUUAUUAGUGAUUAUAAGAUUAAGUUACCUUAGGGAUAACAGCGUAAUUUUUUUAGAGAGUUCUUAUCGAUAAAAAAGUUUGCGACCUCGAUGUUGAAUUAAAGGUUAAUUUUAGGUGUAGAAGUUUAAAGUUUUGGUCUGUUCGACCAUUAAAUC